Molecule: long non-coding RNA, 1050 nt
Organism: Schistocerca gregaria
Lineage: Eukaryota; Metazoa; Arthropoda; Insecta; Orthoptera; Acrididae
Exons: 4
Source: RefSeq, a predicted model, not a curated record
CUUUGACAAUGUUUUGUUUACAAUACGAUAGCAAUUCACGACUUAAAACUAAAUUAGACAUUACAGAAUUUUAGUAUAGAUUAAAUUACCAUGGCCAUUGUUAACGCACACGCGGUUCCCGGCAUUGCCCAUUUAUGCAAGGAACAUCUGAUACAUGAACUCCAAAUCAGAGGAUUAUCUGCCGAAGGAUGAGUAUCUGAUUUCGCCACCCGUCUUCGUGCCGCAGCGCAAACACCAAUUACCUUCCCUCUGCAACUUUUUGCUGCUCUUGCAGUUGGGGUCAGACUCACUGUGAGGCGGAAGGAUGUGCUCGUGGGAAUGAAGGAGGAAAUCACGCAGGCUUGGCCAUCAGCGGUGCGGUCGGUCUACCUUGCAGACAGUUGUGAGUUUGUGGUGGACCUGCCUGAUGUCAACUCUGGGCACUGUUUGUCACAUUGCCUUGGUGCCUGUUUUCUUGGAGAGAACCAUCCCUUGGACCAUUUCGAACAACGCUCUCCAUCGAAGGUUUUUCUGCGAGCUGGGGUGUAUGGGAGAGGCGCCACAUUCUGCUUUGGUGCUCAGAAGCUAUGACUUGUCGUCUAAUGGGAAGUGACUCCCGGUUGGGCCCCAGCAUUUAGGCAUUGUUUUGGAAGGCUGGUCUGUUGCUUCCCACAUUUUAAGUUAAGUCACCUUUUGCCCAGGGCAGCCUGGCAUCAUUGCCCAUUUAACCUGUGUCAUGUAUUUAAAAAAAGGUGGUUUUUUAAUUUGCUUGUGAAUCGAUUGUAUUAAUUAACUUGUUGUGCUCCUUGUGUUAUUUGGGUUCGUAACAAACUGGUGUGCUUGUAAAUCACUUUCAUAUUGAAGAUUCUUGCCUUAAAAAAACUAUCUUUGCCACCUUUUAAAAUCACCUUCAGAUUGUAACUUAUGUAUCUUAAGUAUUGAAAUCUCCAUGGCUAAUCUUUUAAGUCAUGUGAUUGUGUAUGUUGAUAUUGUCUUAAACAAGGCCACGUUUGAUUGCCUCUUAUCUGUUUUAUAAAAGCUUGUUUUGAAUAAAUUGUCAAUUAUUGAUUU